AUUGCUCCUUCCUCGAG
Molecule: small RNA, 17 nt
Filed under: Arabidopsis thaliana (thale cress)
Lineage: Eukaryota; Viridiplantae; Streptophyta; Magnoliopsida; Brassicales; Brassicaceae
Description: ATSL247730
Source: RNAcentral